Molecule: long non-coding RNA, 712 nt
Organism: Mus musculus (house mouse)
Lineage: Eukaryota; Metazoa; Chordata; Mammalia; Rodentia; Muridae
Product: predicted gene 10865
Exons: 3
Source: RefSeq, marked validated
AGCUCUUGCUCUUGCUCCUUCGCCUGCUUGCUGUGUGAGACUGAGUAACUGCUAGAUCCUUGGACUUCCAUUCACAGCUGCUCCUGAAUCAUUGUUGGGAAUUGGGCUGCCGACUGGCAGCCAUGGCCAGGCGCAGGUGCUCCUUCAGCUGCUCGAUCUCACGCUCCGACCGAGUCUUGAUGUGGUUCAGCUCCACGUACACAUCCUGGGCGCUUGUAUCAGGAUACUUUAUCACAGCAACACAAAAGCAACAAAGACAGAGACAUCAUGGCUGAUGCUCAAAACUUGUCCAUCCCACCGCUACAAAGCCUUUCUAUCGAGUGUGGCCCUAGGCUUGCUUAUGGCUACUGCACCCGGACGGACAGACGGACAGAUGGCAGAAACCCUACGCAGCAGUGCUGGUCCAUCGCACGGGGAGGUUCACACCACGGUAACUGUUCCAUGUCACACACUGGGACUCGGCUUAUUAUCUUCCACGCGGUCUGGAAGCGGCGAGAACGAUAGCAAUGCAGACCCCGCUUACACUGUGUCACGUGUGUUACACUGUGUCAUGUCUAGAACUACACUUGUGUAGAACAACAAAAAGGUGAACUACUCUGAUCAGAAUGUUCUCCGUCUCCACAGAAAGCUGUCCUUCAGCCCAGCGAAGAAUUUGCUUACAGCGUUGAUCUUGAGAAGUUACUCAUUAGUAUAAAAAUAUUGACCAAUACGC